UGGGGAAUCUUCCGCAAUGGACGAAAGUCUGACGGAGCAACGCCGCGUGAGUGAAGACGGCCUUCGGGUUGUAAAGCUCUGUGAUCCGGGACGAAAGAGCCUGAGGUGAAUAGCCUAAGGAAGUGACGGUACCGGAAAAGCAAGCCACGGCUAACUACGUGCCAGCAGCCGCGGUAAUACGUAGGUGGCAAGCGUUGUCCGGAAUUAUUGGGCGUAAAGCGCGCGCAGGCGGCUUCCUAAGUCCAUCUUAAAAGUGCGGGGCUUAACCCCGUGAUGGGAUGGAAACUGGGAAGCUGGAGUAUCGGAGAGGAAAGUGGAAUUCCUAGUGUAGCGGUGAAAUGCGUAGAGAUUAGGAAGAACACCGGGGGCGAAGGCGACUUUCUGGACGAAAACUGACGCUGAGGCGCGAAAGCGUGGGGAGCAAACAGG
Molecule: ribosomal RNA, 429 nt
Filed under: Fusobacteriota bacterium
Lineage: Bacteria; Fusobacteriati; Fusobacteriota
Description: Fusobacteria bacterium partial 16S ribosomal RNA
Rfam family: Bacterial small subunit ribosomal RNA
Source: RNAcentral